UACGGGCUUAAACAUGCAAGUCGAGGGGUAGCAGGGUAGCAAUACCGCUGACGACCGGCGCACGGGUGAGUAACACGUAUCCAACCUACCGUUAACUCGGGGAUAGCCCUCUGAAAGGAGGAUUAAUACUCGAUAGUAUAACAACACUGCAUGGUGCUGUUAUUAAAGAAUUUCGGUUAUCGAUGGGGAUGCGUUCCAUUAGAUUGUUGGUGAGGUAACGGCUCACCAAGUCUUCGAUGGAUAGGGGUUCUGAGAGGAAGGUCCCCCACACUGGUACUGAGACACGGACCAGACUCCUACGGGAGGCAGCAGUGAGGAAUAUUGGUCAAUGGGCGCGAGCCUGAACCAGCCAAGUGGCGUGAAGGAUGACUGCCCUAUGAGUUGUAAACUUCUUUUAUAGGGGAAUAACCGUCGGUACGUGUACCGGUCUGUAUGUACCCUACGAAUAAGCAUCGGCUAACUCCGUGCCAGCAGCCGCGGUAAUACGGAGGAUGCGAGCGUUAUCCGGAUUUAUUGUGUUUAAAGGGUGCGUAGGUGGGCGAUUAAGUCAGUUGUGAAAGUUUGCGGCUCAACCGUAAAAUUGCAAUUGAAACUGAUUGUCUUGAGUGUAUAUCGAGGUUGGCGGGAAUUCGUAGUGUAGCGGUGAACAUGACUUAGAUAUCACGAGGAACUCCGAUUGCGUAGGCAGCUCACUAAACUACAACUGACACUGGAG
RNAcentral lists this ribosomal RNA (715 nucleotides) under uncultured bacterium. Its description in RNAcentral is "bacterial SSU rRNA". It matches the Rfam family "Bacterial small subunit ribosomal RNA", at positions 41 to 751 of the family's 1533-position model. The record is from RNAcentral.